RNAcentral lists this unclassified non-coding RNA (330 nucleotides) under uncultured fungus. RNAcentral's name for it is "partial contains small subunit ribosomal RNA, internal transcribed spacer 1, and 5.8S ribosomal RNA". The stretch from base 1 to 73 matches the Rfam family "Eukaryotic small subunit ribosomal RNA", at positions 1759 to 1831 of the family's 1831-position model. Lineage: Eukaryota; Fungi. The record is from RNAcentral.
UCAAACUUGGUCAUUUAGAGGAAGUAAAAGUCGUAACAAGGUUUCCGUAGGUGAACCUGCGGAAGGAUCAUCAUUGAUUCUAAAAGGAUGUGCUGGCUUUAUUGCAUGUGCACUCCGAUUUACCUUUAACCCCUUUGUGCACCGUUUCGUAGACAUUAAGAAAGAGUGACUUGGUAGCAAUACUUGAGGAUCUCAAGUACUUUUGUUUAUGAUUUUACUAUACUCUAUAAGCUUGUAAAAGAAUGUUCAAUUAGACUUUUUUCAAAGUCGAAUUAUAAAACAACUUUCAACAACGGAUCUCUUGGUUCUCGCAUCGAUGAAGAACGCAGC